Molecule: ribosomal RNA, 497 nt
Filed under: uncultured bacterium
Lineage: Bacteria
Description: partial 16S ribosomal RNA
Rfam family: Bacterial small subunit ribosomal RNA
Source: RNAcentral
GAUGAACGCUGGCGGCGUGCCUAAUACAUGCAAGUCGAGCGAACAGACGAGGAGCUUGCUCCUCUGACGUUAGCGGCGGACGGGUGAGUAACACGUGGAUAACCUACCUAUAAGACUGGGAUAACUUCGGGAAACCGGAGCUAAUACCGUAUAAUAUAUUGAACCGCAUGGUUCAAUAGUGAAAGACGGUUUUGCUGUCACUUAUAGAUUGAUCCGCGCCUCAUUAGCUAGUUGGUAAGGUAACGGCUUACCAAGGCAACGAUGCGUAGCCGACCUGAGAGGGUGAUCGGCCACACUGGAACUGAGACACGGUCCAGACUCCUACGGGAGGCAGCAGUAGGGAAUCUUCCGCAAUGGGCGAAAGACUGACGGAGCAACGCCGCGUGAGUGAUGAAGGUCUUCGGAUCGUAAAACUCUGUUAUUAGGGAAGAACAAAUGUGUAAGUAACUAUGCACGUCUUGACGGUACCUAAUCAGAAAGCCACGGCUAACUACGUG